This 491-nucleotide ribosomal RNA is filed under the name uncultured bacterium. RNAcentral's name for it is "partial 16S ribosomal RNA". It matches the Rfam family "Bacterial small subunit ribosomal RNA", at positions 29 to 507 of the family's 1533-position model. The record is from RNAcentral.
GUGCACGCUGGCGGUAGGCCUAACCCCUGCAAGUCGAACGGCAGCACAGUAAGAGCUUGCUCUUACGGGUGGCGAGUGGCGGACGGGUGAGAAAUACAUCGGAAUCUACUUUUUCGUGGGGGAUAACGUAGGGAAACUUACGCUAAUACCGCAUACGACCUACGGGUGAAAGCAGGGGAUCUUCGGACCUUGCGCGAUUGAAUGAGCCGAUGUCGGAUUAGCUAGUUGGCGGGGUAAAGGCCCACCAAGGCGACGAUCCGUAGCUGGUCUGAGAGGAUGAUCAGCCACACUGGAACUGAGACACGGUCCAGACUCCUACGGGAGGCAGCAGUGGGGAAUAUUGGACAAUGGGCGCAAGCCUGAUCCAGCCAUACCGCGUGGGUGAAGAAGGCCUUCGGGUUGUAAAGCCCUUUUGUUGGGAAAGAAAAGCAGCAGGUUAAUACCCCGCUGUUCUGACGGUACCCAAAGAAUAAGCACCGGCUAACUUCGUG